AAUUCCAGCUCCAAUAGCGUAUAUUAAAGUUGCUGCAGUUAAAAAGCUCGUAGUUGAAUUUCGGGACCAAUAUGUCGGUCGUGCCUCGGUACGUACUGGCAUCGUUGGUUUCUCCCUUCUGACGAACCAUGAUGUCAUUUAUUUGGUGUCGUGGGGAAUCAGGACUGUUACUUUGAAAAAAUUAGAGUGUUUAAAGCAGGCUCACGCUUGAAUACAUUAGCAUGGAAUAAUGAAAUAGGACGUUUGAUUCUAUUUUGUUGGUUUCUAGGAUCGACGUAAUGAUUAAUAGGGAUAGUUGGGGGCAUUAGUAUUCAAUUGUCAGAGGUGAAAUUCUUGGAUUUAUUGAAGACUAACUACUGCGAAAGCAUUUGCCAAAGAUGUUUUCAUUAAUCAAGAACGAAAGUUAGGGGAUCGAAGACGAUCAGAUACCGUCGUAGUCUUAACCAUAAACUAUGCCGACUAGGGAUCGGAUGAUGUUAAUUUUUUAAUGACUCAUUCGGCGCCUUACG
RNAcentral lists this ribosomal RNA (509 nucleotides) under uncultured Glomeromycotina. RNAcentral's name for it is "partial small subunit ribosomal RNA". It matches the Rfam family "Eukaryotic small subunit ribosomal RNA", at positions 581 to 1092 of the family's 1831-position model. The record is from RNAcentral. Lineage: Eukaryota; Fungi; Glomeromycota.